GCUGUAGAGUCUAAUUAUUACUACUGGUUAAAUAUUACUUCACUGCUUCAAAUUAAUCAUUAUAAAGCCUUUUUCCACAUUAAUAGCAACCUUGUAAUGUAGAAGUCCCCCGUAUAUGACACCAAAAUCGAUGAAACUUUUAAAUAAAAAUAUCUGUAGUAUAUUAGUUAUUGCUAUUGCAGGAGCAUCUAAAUAUUUACAAUAGUAUUCUUGUAUGAGAGACUUUCUCAAGAUUUCAUCUGUAGCCAAAAGCAAAUCAAAUUUCUUGCACGAUAGUUCUUCUGAAUGCAUCUAGUACAUUCUCUCUGAUUCUUCUCCUUCCGAUGUAAGUGAGCAGAGUUUAGUGGAGUUGAGAAGGCAGCCACAGUCAGUCCAUUUCCAGAACUCCUGCUCAUUACAAUGAUCACAUUUUGUGAGUUUGAUUAUCUUCAUGGAAUCUAUCAGAAUGUUGAAGAUUUUCAGUACUCCUGCUCUCAUCAGAUGCACAAAAUUACCUCGAAGUUCGCACACAUAAACACAACCCCCACACCCCUGUGGGUUAGCCUCCAGAUUAAAAGAUUUAAAACAAUGUCCAACAUCUCAGAAGCCUCUCUUGUACCCACUCCAAGUAAGUUAAUACUCCCAACCCCAACAGUAACUACUGUUUUGAUUAUUACCAGACUCAAGUCCUUUUCAAACUUGCCUUAUCUACAUAUGUAUACAUUUAAAAAAUAUGAAAUGGACAAAUGCAUACUCAUUAAUCAUCUUAA
Molecule: long non-coding RNA, 749 nt
Filed under: Macaca mulatta (Rhesus monkey)
Lineage: Eukaryota; Metazoa; Chordata; Mammalia; Primates; Cercopithecidae
Description: lncRNA (ENSMMUG00000059547.1)
Source: RNAcentral